Molecule: non-coding RNA, 109 nt
Filed under: Microbacterium mangrovi
Lineage: Bacteria; Bacillati; Actinomycetota; Actinomycetes; Micrococcales; Microbacteriaceae
Description: TPP sequence
Rfam family: TPP riboswitch aptamer (THI element)
About the family: Vitamin B(1) in its active form thiamin pyrophosphate (TPP) is an essential coenzyme that is synthesised by coupling of pyrimidine and thiazole moieties in bacteria. The previously detected thiamin-regulatory element, thi box was extended, resulting in a new, highly conserved RNA secondary structure, the THI element, which is widely distributed in eubacteria and also occurs in some archaea. Analysis of operon structures identified a large number of new candidate thiamin-regulated genes, mostly transporters, in various prokaryotic organisms.
Source: Rfam by way of RNAcentral
AACGCAAACCACGGGAGUCCGGUGUGCCGGGCUGAGAGGAAGCAACCCAGCUUCGACCGUCGAACCUGAUCCGGAUCAUGCCGGCGCAGGGAGGAGAGAGAUGAUGCGU